Long non-coding RNA from Lemur catta (Ring-tailed lemur), 546 nucleotides. RefSeq lists it as uncharacterized. The transcript has 3 exons. The record is from RefSeq and is a predicted model, not a curated record. Lineage: Eukaryota; Metazoa; Chordata; Mammalia; Primates; Lemuridae.
CAGGACCCUUUGAGCCAUCAACGUUUCCUUCAGACUUAGAGUCAGCAACAUGCUUCUCAUGCUUAUCCUUCACCUUGGCUGCCUUAGGGACCUAAGGCUGCUUUUCACCAUCACGAAAGAUUAAAUCCACCGGAGGGACUGAGGACUCAGUGCAUUGAUCUCAUUUGACCCUUGAAAAUCUGACCAAGACCAUCCAAUGGGACAAGACUUGAAUACCCUGUGGAGCAGAAGGAGUUCUCAAAGACCCUCAAGCACAAGUGGGGCUGUUCCAGGGACAACCCUGUGGCAAAGACCUAAUGCUAACUCUGCAAAGAGACAGUGUGUUCUCAGGAAUAAACAGAGACAUUUUAAGGGGCAGAUGUGACUCCUGACUUUCUGUAUAUUUGUAAUGCAAAUUGGCCAUUGUUGGUUGGGCUUCCUUCCGAGCAGCCCCGGCCCUGGCUUGUGCAUGGCUCUCUAGCUGAGCCAGGACCUUUCCAGCGACAUUUCUUCCAGUUUGGCACCAGUGUCCCCAGGUGCUCCCAGAAGAAGUCCCUGGGCGGUGGG